Molecule: transfer RNA, 72 nt
Filed under: Camelus bactrianus (Bactrian camel)
Lineage: Eukaryota; Metazoa; Chordata; Mammalia; Artiodactyla; Camelidae
Also listed under: 1 other name
Rfam family: tRNA
About the family: Transfer RNA (tRNA) molecules are approximately 80 nucleotides in length. Their secondary structure includes four short double-helical elements and three loops (D, anti-codon, and T loops). Further hydrogen bonds mediate the characteristic L-shaped molecular structure. tRNAs have two regions of fundamental functional importance: the anti-codon, which is responsible for specific mRNA codon recognition, and the 3' end, to which the tRNAs corresponding amino acid is attached (by aminoacyl-tRNA synthetases). tRNAs cope with the degeneracy of the genetic code in two manners: having more than one tRNA (with a specific anti-codon) for a particular amino acid; and 'wobble' base-pairing, i.e. permitting non-standard base-pairing at the 3rd anti-codon position.
Source: Rfam by way of RNAcentral
GUGGAUAUAGCUCAGGGGAAGAGCGCAUGCUUAGCAUGCUCGAGGUCCUGGGUUCAAUCCCCAGUACCUCCA